GAUGAACGCUGGCGGCGUGCCUAAUACAUGCAAGUCGAGCGAACAGAUGAGGAUCUUGCUCCUCGCACGUUAGCCGCGGGCGGGUGUGUCACACGUGUAUAACCUACCUAUAUGACUGAUAAAACUUCGGGAAACCGGAUCAAAUACCGGAUAAUCUAUUGAAGCAUAUGGUUCAAUAGAAAAAGACGGUGUUUCUGUCACUUAUAGAUGCAUCCGGGCCGCAUUAGGUGGUUGGUAAGGUAACGGCUUACGAAGGCAACCAUGCGUAGCCGAACUGACAGGGGGAUAGCCGACACUAGAACGGAGACACGGUCAAGACUACUACGGGAGGCAGCAGAAGGGAAUCGUACGCAGUGGGCGAAAGCAUGACGGAGCAGCGCGGCGUGAGUGAUGAAGGUCUUCGGAUCGUAAAACUCUGUUAUUAGGGAAGAACAAAUGUGUAAGUAAAUAUGGACGUCUUGACGGUACCUGAUCAGAAAGCAACGGCUAACUACGUG
This 497-nucleotide ribosomal RNA is filed under the name uncultured bacterium. RNAcentral's name for it is "partial 16S ribosomal RNA". It matches the Rfam family "Bacterial small subunit ribosomal RNA", at positions 28 to 507 of the family's 1533-position model. The record is from RNAcentral.